This 466-nucleotide ribosomal RNA is filed under the name uncultured bacterium. Its description in RNAcentral is "partial 16S ribosomal RNA". It matches the Rfam family "Bacterial small subunit ribosomal RNA", at positions 28 to 507 of the family's 1533-position model. The record is from RNAcentral.
GAUGAACGCUGGCGGCGUGCUUAACACAUGCAAGUCGAACGGAAAGGCUCCUGCUUGCAGGGGUACUCGAGUGGCGAACGGGUGAGUAACACGUGGGUGAUCUGCCCUGCACUUCGGGAUAAGCCGGGGAAACUGGGUCUAAUACCGGACAGGACGAUGGUUUGGAUGCCAUUGUGGAAAGUUUUUUCGGUGUGGGAUGAGCUCGCGGCCUAUCAGCUUGUUGGUGGGGUAAUGGCCUACCAAGGCGUCGACGGGUAGCCGGCCUGAGAGGGUGUACGGCCACAUUGGGACUGAGAUACGGCCCAGACUCCUACGGGAGGCAGCAGUGGGGAAUAUUGCACAAUGGGCGCAAGCCUGAUGCAGCGACGCCGCGUGGGGGAUGACGGCCUUCGAGUUGUAAACUCCUUUCGCUAGGGACGAAGCGCAAGUGACGGUACCUAGAGAAGAAGCACCGGCUAACUACGUG